RNAcentral lists this ribosomal RNA (406 nucleotides) under uncultured bacterium. RNAcentral describes it as "partial 16S ribosomal RNA". It matches the Rfam family "Bacterial small subunit ribosomal RNA", at positions 30 to 526 of the family's 1533-position model. The record is from RNAcentral.
AUUGAACGCUGGCGGCAUGCUUUACACAUGCAAGUCGAACGAGUGGCGAACGGGUGAGUAAUAUAUCGGAACGUACCGAGUAAUGGGGGAUAACCAAUCGAAAGAUUGGCUAAUACCGCAUAUUAUUCGACCGGCAGAUAACUUAUUAGCUAGUUGGUGGGGUAAAGGCCUACCAAGGCGACGAUCAGUAGCGGGUCUGAGAGGACGAUCGGCCACCCUGGGACUGAGAUACGGCCCAGCCUCAUACGGGAGUCAUCUGUGGGGAAUUUUGGACAAUGGGGGCAACCCUGAGCCAGCAACGCCGCGUGUAUGAAGAGGGCCUUCGGGUUGUAAAGUACUUUUGUUAGGGAAGCGGUACCUAAAGAAUAAGCACCGGCUAACUACGUGCCAGCAGCCGCGGUAAUAC